Molecule: ribosomal RNA, 881 nt
Filed under: Euwallacea fornicatus
Lineage: Eukaryota; Metazoa; Arthropoda; Insecta; Coleoptera; Curculionidae
Description: eukaryotic LSU rRNA
Rfam family: Eukaryotic large subunit ribosomal RNA
Source: RNAcentral
AGAGUCAGAGUACGUGAAACCGUUUAAGGGUAAACCUGAGAAACCCGAAAGUCGAAGGAGAAAUCAUUCGCGUCUCGACGCAGGCGUCGGACGGGGUCAGAGCGACGGAACGGGCGCGCGUUUUUCUUCGGAAUCGCGCGUUCGAUUUUGCGCCCUCCGUCCUUCGAACCGGCUGCGAACGCGUGCACUUUUCUCCUGGUAGGACGUCGCGAUCCGUCGGGCGUCGGUCUACGACUUGCGGCGGAGACCGUCCGUCGUUCUCACGAACGUACGGCGCGGACCCGCUCGUUCCGGCCGACUCGCUCGACGGUAAGCUCGAGGUCUGGGGUCGCUACGAUAUAUCUAUACCGUAGAGCGUUCGACUCGUCGCAAGCGCGUCACGUGCGUCGGCACGCGGACCCGGUGCCGCGUCCGAUCUCUGGYKACUGUUGGGCGACGAAGUUCUCGGACAGACUUCCAUAAAAAAGGGGGGCGGGGAGGAGAAGAAGGGGGUUCGCGCUUCCUUCUCGCUCUCUCUCCGUCUCUCGGAGACCGAUCGGCGACGCUAUAGCUUUGGGUACUUUCAGGACCCGUCUUGAAACACGGACCAAGGAGUCUAGCAUGUACGCGAGUCAUUGGGAUUUUUACUAAACCUAAAGGCGCAAUGAAAGUGAAGGUUUUCCUCGCGAAGACCGUGGGAAGACGGACGGGCGGGCGCGCGGCGCGUACCUAGGUGCGCGUCGCGGUACCGAAACGAUCGCCCGUCCCGCAUUCCCGGGGCGUCUCGUUCGCAUCGCGCGAAGAGGCGCACCGCGAGCGUACACGCUGGGACCCGAAAGAUGGUGAACUAUGCCUGGUCAGGACGAAGUCAGGGGAAACCCUGAUGGAGGUCCGUAGCGAUU